CAUCUUUCUUUUCGUGAAACAGCGACAGAAUUUCUUUCUUCAUCUUCAGAAGAAAGAACAACUGAUAUCGCCAUGAGAAACGUUAUUCAUCUUCUUCGUUCUUCUAGAUUAACCUAGCGCCUCACUGAAACAACACAAAGCAAAACGAAGAUACGGGUUUUUUCCCCUCUCGCCAAUCAUCCAUGACAAAGGUGGUAGCAGAUGAACAAAAAAAAACGACUAAACUUCGAAGAAAUUUCUCAAUGUCACAGGAACACAUUGUGUUACAUCAUUGGAAGUACUACUCUAUCCGGUACUCACUGUUCCAUAAUAAUGCACGAACACGAAGGAGCUGGACACUGAUGGUUUUCUAUCCAUUGUUUUUGUUAGUGGCAAGUAUAGAGAAAAAAAGAAGAAUACUCUCUUUGUGGGAUGACGAAAUGAGAAGAGAACGUGGAAUAAUAGAUUAUCCUCUGAAACCCAAGAUGCUGGCGCAUGAGCUAUAAUGUAUAAAUUUCCAAGUGAAUUCAUUGGAGCUAGAACAACUACAGGGAAAGAAAUAAAUCGAUGUGCCGACUGAAGUUGUAGGCUCCAGUGGGCUCAAGAGCUGGACUUAGCCUGUUCAUAUUGUGUAAGCAUUUUUUUUUGCUGUAGCAACGUUCUUAGUUACUGGCAUGAUAGAUAAGUAUGAACGGUAAAUAUAUGUUCUCUUAACCAUUCUCUUAAGCAUGUUCGAAUUUUGGACCUGCAUAUAUGGAGAAGGAUCCUAUAUUUUGGAUAGUUAUAGCUUAGGAUUGUAUGUAUACAAGAAGUGUGGCCAAGAUUUGGAUUUA
Molecule: long non-coding RNA, 812 nt
Organism: Papaver somniferum (opium poppy)
Lineage: Eukaryota; Viridiplantae; Streptophyta; Magnoliopsida; Ranunculales; Papaveraceae
Exons: 2
Source: RefSeq, a predicted model, not a curated record